UGGGCGGAUGCUGUGCUG
Molecule: small nuclear RNA, 18 nt
Filed under: Arabidopsis thaliana (thale cress)
Lineage: Eukaryota; Viridiplantae; Streptophyta; Magnoliopsida; Brassicales; Brassicaceae
Description: snRNA_03151
Source: RNAcentral